RNAcentral lists this ribosomal RNA (253 nucleotides) under uncultured bacterium. RNAcentral's name for it is "partial 16S ribosomal RNA". It matches the Rfam family "Bacterial small subunit ribosomal RNA", at positions 524 to 776 of the family's 1533-position model. The record is from RNAcentral.
UACGUAGGGGGCAAGCGUUGUCCGGAAUUAUUGGGCGUAAAGCGCGCGCAGGCGGCCUUUUAAGUCUGAUGUGAAAGCCCCCGGCUCAACCGGGGAAGGUCAUUGGAAACUGAGAGGCUUGAGUACAGAAGAGGAAAGCGGAAUUCCACGUGUAGCGGUGAAAUGCUUAGAUAUGACACAGAACACCGAUUGCGUAGGCAGCUCACUAAACUGUAACUGACGCUGAGGCACGAAAGCGUGGGGAGCAAACAGG